RNAcentral lists this ribosomal RNA (460 nucleotides) under uncultured bacterium. RNAcentral's name for it is "partial 16S ribosomal RNA". It matches the Rfam family "Bacterial small subunit ribosomal RNA", at positions 338 to 795 of the family's 1533-position model. The record is from RNAcentral.
CCUACGGGAGGCUGCAGUGAGGAAUAUUGGUCAAUGGGCGGGAGCCUGAACCAGCCAAGUCGCGUGAGGGAAGACGGUCCUAUGGAUUGUAAACCUCUUUAGGCGGGGAGUAAAGCCGGGCACGCGUGCCCGGAGGGAGAGUACCCGCAGAAUAAGCAUCGGCUAACCCCGUGCCAGCACCCGCGGAAAUACGGAGGAUGCGAGCUUAUUCGGGUUUUAUUGGGUUUAAGGGGUGGGUGGGCGGACUGGAAAGUCAGCGGUAAAAUCGAGAGGCUAAAUCUCUUUCCGCCGUUGAAACUGUCGGUCUUGAGUGGGGUAGAAGUAUGCGGAAUGCGUGGUGUAGCGGUGAAAUGCAUAGAUAUCACGCAGAACUCCGAUUGCGAAGGCAGCAUACCGGCGCCCGACUGACGCUGAGGCACGAAAGCGUGGGUAUCGAACAGGAUUAGAUACCCGAGUAGUC